Molecule: ribosomal RNA, 962 nt
Filed under: uncultured Flavobacteriaceae bacterium
Lineage: Bacteria; Pseudomonadati; Bacteroidota; Flavobacteriia; Flavobacteriales; Flavobacteriaceae
Description: bacterial SSU rRNA
Rfam family: Bacterial small subunit ribosomal RNA
Source: RNAcentral
UUACACAUGCAAGUCGAGGGGUAUAGUUCUUCGGAGCUAGAGACCGGCGCACGGGUGCGUAACGCGUAUGCAAUCUACCUUUUACAGAGGGAUAGCCCAGAGAAAUUUGGAUUAAUACCUCAUAGUAUGUGAGAAUCGCAUGGUUUUCACAUUAAAGUCACAACGGUAAAAGAUGAGCAUGCGUCCCAUUAGCUAGAUGGUAAGGUAACGGCUUACCAUGGCAACGAUGGGUAGGGGUCCUGAGAGGGAGAUCCCCCACACUGGUACUGAGACACGGACCAGACUCCUACGGGAGGCAGCAGUGAGGAAUAUUGGACAAUGGGCGCAAGCCUGAUCCAGCCAUGCCGCGUGCAGGAUGACGGUCCUAUGGAUUGUAAACUGCUUUUGUACAGGAAGAAACACUCCCUCGUGAGGGAGCUUGACGGUACUGUAAGAAUAAGGAUCGGCUAACUCCGUGCCAGCAGCCGCGGUAAUACGGAGGAUCCAAGCGUUAUCCGGAAUCAUCGGGUUUAAAGGGUCCGUAGGCGGUUUAAUAAGUCAGUGGUGAAAGCCCAUCGCUCAACGGUGGAACGGCCAUUGAUACUGUUAAACUUGAAUUAUUAGGAAGUAACUAGAAUAUGUAGUGUAGCGGUGAAAUGCUUAGAGAUUACAUGGAAUACCAAUUGCGAAGGCAGGUUACUACUAAUGGAUUGACGCUGAUGGACGAAAGCGUGGGUAGCGAACAGGAUUAGAUACCCUGGUAGUCCACGCCGUANACGAUGGAUACUAGCUGUUGGGAGCAAUCUCAGUGGCUAAGCGAAAGUGAUAAGUAUCCCACCUGGGGAGUACGUUCGCAAGAAUGAAACUCAAAGGAAUUGACGGGGGCCCGCACAAGCGGUGGAGCAUGUGGUUUAAUUCGAUGAUACGCGAGGAACUUUACCAAGGCUUAAAUGUAGUUUGACCCGAUUGGAAACAGAUCUUUC